GACGAACGCUGGCGGCGUGCUUAACACAUGCAAGUCGAACGGAAAGGCCCCUUUUGGGGUACUCGAGUGGCGAACGGGCGAGUAACACGUGCGUAACCUGCCCUUGACUUCGGGUUAACUUCAGGAAACUGGGGCUAAUACCGGAUAGGAAUCCUUGCUGCAUGGUGGGGGUUGGAAAGCUUCGGCGGUUUUGGAUGGACUCGCGGCUUAUCAGCUUGUUGGUGGGGUAGUGGCUUACCAAGGGUUUGACGGGUAGCCGGCCUGGGAGGGCGACCGGCCACAUUGGGACUGAGAUACGGCCCAGACUCCUACGGGAGGGAGCAGUGGGGAAUAUUGCACAAUGGGCGGAAGCCUGAUGCAGCAACGCCGCGGGCGGGAUGACGGGCUUCGGGUUGGAAACCGCUUUCAGCAGGGGCGAAGCUUGUGGUGACGGUACCUGCAGAAGAAGCACCGGCUAACUACGUG
RNAcentral lists this ribosomal RNA (465 nucleotides) under uncultured bacterium. RNAcentral's name for it is "partial 16S ribosomal RNA". It matches the Rfam family "Bacterial small subunit ribosomal RNA", at positions 28 to 507 of the family's 1533-position model. The record is from RNAcentral.